UUUGAAUUUAAUUCAAACUCAUCCACUGCUGAGCAGCAGUCCACCGCUCAACCGACUCAAUCCAACGCUAGGAGAGUUUCGGUCAGACUCUGACUCUUCCCCACGUGAGCAGCAAAAUUCCUAACCUUGCGUGCGCGAACCGCAGCUCGAACCCCAGACCUCCGUCCGCCUUCCGCCUUCGCCCAAGCUGCUGGCCACUGCACCACGCUGUCUUUUACUAGUAAAUGGUUACAUUUAAUUAUAAACCUUACCUGCUGAAGCUUUGGUCCGCUUAAAAAUAAAAGAGAAUUUCGCCAUCCACGCGACCUUCUAACCCCACACUCACGUUCCUUACCACUGCACCAAAGUUCCUAAUAAUAAUUAUAAUUUCCAUAACUCAAUAAAAAUAGAUACAGUAAAAUUUUCUAAUAAUAUGUUAAUUUAAACACUAAAUUAACAACAAUAAUUUUAUAAAUAUAUUUGUAUCUAAUAAUUAUAAUGAUAAUAAUUUUCAUAAAAAUUAAAAUAUUAGUAAUAACAUAAAUAUUUUAUCAAUAUAUAUAUAUUUUUAAACACUAGUAAUAUUUAAAACUUCUCAAUAUUCAGGUUUUCUUCUAUCCGAAUCCCAGACUCAAAGCCCAACUCUUCUAGGCCCAAUUUUUGGGGCGUUACAUGCACCUAAUAGUCAUUAUCAAUGGAGAGUAAUGCCAUUUGGAUUAUGUAAUGCACCUCAAAUCUUCCAAAGAUGGAUGGAUUCUAUAUUUAAUAAAUAUAAAAAAUUUUGUGUAGUUUAUAUAGACGAUAUAUUAAUAUUUUCAGAAACACUGGAAAAGCAUAGAAAACAUUUAAAUAUUAUCUCUCUAGAAUUCAUAAAACAUGAAAUUAUUUUAAGCCCUAAGAAAAUAGAAUUAGAAAAAACAGAAAUAGAAUUUUUAGGUUUAAAUCUAUCGGCUGAUGAUCUUAAACUACAAGAUCAUAUUAUAGUAAAAAUAAAAGAAUUUCCAGAAGAAAUUAAAAACCAAAAACAACUUCAACAAUUUUUAGGUAUAAUUAAUUAUGGAAGAAACUUCUUUCCUAAUUUAUCUAAAAAAAUAGGAGACUUAUAUGAAAAAUUAAAAAAGGAUAAAACUUUUAGCUGGUCUAAAGAAGACUCAGAAAUUAUUAAAAAUAUAAAAUCAGAAAUAAAUUAUACCCCAAAAGUCUAUUUACCAAAACAAGGUUAUAGAUUAAUCUUAGAAACCGAUGCAUCAGAAAAAUAUUGGGGAUGUAUUUUAAAAGCUAAAACAGCAAAAAACGAAGAACUAAUAUGUGGAUAUAGUUCUGGAAAAUUUAAAUCAAAUGAAGUUAAUUAUGCUAUAUAUGAAAAAGAAUUAUUAGCUAUUAAAAAGGCAAUAAAAACCUUUCUCAUAUAUUUAGCAUCUGAAAAUUUUAUUAUAAAAACUGACAACCAGGCAGUCAAACAAUUUCUGACUAAUAAUAGUCUAGAAAGUGUACUAAGAAGAAUUAGAUGGUAUAAUGAUUUAUGUAGUUUCAAUUUUGAAGUUUUAUAUGUCAAAGGUACUAAUAAUAUUAUUGCUGAUUAUCUUAGCAGGCCUUAUGGAUAGAGGUAAAAAACCUCUAGAACAAGUCGGGGAAUGGACUACUGUCCAUAAAAAACCCAACAAAGGAAAGCAGAUAAAUCCUAAUCAAGGAUUUACUCCCAAUCAGGGAUUUACUCCUAUAUUAACAGGAUUCUAUCCUAAUCAAGGAUAUUAUGUUCCUUAUCCAAUGGUAAGACAACCAACUGGAUCUCCUUCAUCAUAUGCAUCAAGAAUGGUAAACGAAUACCCUUCAAAAAGAAUAAUUCAAUCUCCUUGGUCUCAAGAUCCGAAUUCAGCAUAUCAAGCCAGUUAUUCUGAAGUUAUAAAAGGAGCAGAAAAUUUGUUGAAACAACAACAAAUUCCAGAAAUAAAAGAUUUUUAUAAUCCAGGAUUACCAAAUAAUAAGAACUUACAAAUGAGUAUUAUGAUAUGAAUUCCUCCAAGAACCGUAACUCG
This 2015-nucleotide long non-coding RNA is filed under the name Gossypium barbadense (sea-island cotton). RNAcentral's name for it is "long non-coding RNA (GBAR_LNC004198)". The record is from RNAcentral. Lineage: Eukaryota; Viridiplantae; Streptophyta; Magnoliopsida; Malvales; Malvaceae.